Molecule: transfer RNA, 54 nt
Filed under: Salamandra algira (North African fire salamander)
Lineage: Eukaryota; Metazoa; Chordata; Amphibia; Caudata; Salamandridae
Also listed under: 1 other name
Description: tRNA-Cys
Source: RNAcentral
AAGCUAUUCUGCUCUUCAAAAUUUGCAAUUUUAUAUGCUGAACAUCACACGGCU